Molecule: RNA transcript, 2166 nt
Organism: Bombus impatiens (common eastern bumble bee)
Lineage: Eukaryota; Metazoa; Arthropoda; Insecta; Hymenoptera; Apidae
Exons: 2
Source: RefSeq, a predicted model, not a curated record
GUGACGCGGACUCGAACAGCCAAGCUGAGAGCGACUGCAGGAAGACUAUAGGAAAGGCUCAUUAGCCGCAGACAGUUGACAGGACAAAGCUGGAUUGUUCUUUCCCCUCUGCUCAGCCUCAAUGUCGACCCCCGUAUCACCCUUUAGUCCGCCAUCAUCCGUCGUCCACGAAUUAAGGAUCUUGCUUCUCGGGCUCGUCAACCGGCAAUCCAAAUCAGAUAAAUGACUUAGUUUUUAUGUAUCAUAACUCAUCGUAACAUGAAUGUAUCCCAUCGUAAGGGCGAUUUCACUUUUGCAAUAAGAAACAGAAGAUGUUUUGUGUGACAUCGCAUAUGCCAGGUACCGGAAUCCAUUGUGCCACUUGUUGCAGUUUUGAAAUAACUUUCUUCUCAGAGAAACAGAGGACAGCGACAUAAUUCAAUUUACCUAUAAUAAAUUGUAUUUCAAAAUAUACAAUUAAGAAAAGAAUUGUAACGCUAUCUGUCAGCGAUUAAUUUAUAUUUCAAUUUAUAACAUAUCGAAGUGAUUUCGCUUUUACCUCGUGUUAAAGUUUAUAUUCAGUCAUGGUGGAACGUUAAUAUAGAUCAUAUUAAUAACCUUCCACACGUUGAACCAUGCAUACAUUAAUAAAAUUUGCGCAAAUAUAUGCCAGCUGUGACUGCGACGAUUAAAUCGCCAACAUUAUUUAUUGAACAGGUUUCCUACGAUUAAUUACAUUAAACCGGACUUACAGGAUUAAAAUCCGCUUGAUAUAUAUGAUUCAUUAUAUUUUGUUCGUUAUGCAAUUUAAAAAAAAAAAGAUAUAUUUAAGAUGUUUACCCAGUAAAUGUUUGUCAUUAUGUUCUAUUCUAGGUAAACUUUUUAACUAAGAAGCGAACGUUAUACAAAGAUCAUUUGAAGUUUUAUUAGAAGCUUGUUAAAGUAUCAAAGAAUCAAUUAAAAAAUGAAAAAUUCGAACGUUCUUUAAUUAACUACAUAACAUUCUUCUUUGCAAUUAAACAUUACAUUUGCAGAACAUUUCAAUCCUAACGAGACAUAUGCGAUGAAUUAAAAAAAAAAAAACUCAACUAAAACACAUACAAAUGACUAAAUAACGACGAACGAAAAGCUGAAAAAAGCUGGACGUAGAUCGAAAUUAAUGGAAAGCGAACACGAGGGAGAAGAACGAUCUACAAUUCGUUUUCGUCCACAUGUGUCAGGUCGGGCCAAAACGCAACCCCGCCGUUACGGCGUCUCGGCUGAUUUAUCGAAAUUUCACGUCGAAUUGGCUCGCACGGGGAUCAACCAACAGUGAAUCGGAGGACAGACCGAAAAGAACGUGGCUGUUAGUCGGCCGGCUCAUAAUUUGUUCACGGUUAUUUUUAGGCGAGUCUCAAUCUCGUCGUGUCGACACGAAUGAGAGUGACUCCUCGGCGCCAGUGGUACUGUCAGUCGUAACAGUGACAACGAGACCGACCGUUCGAUGCUGGAACGAAAAUAAAUCCCUGGAUGGGCUACGAAGGCUCGCAAGAGCCACGGAUCCUCGUGGAAUUUCGGGACACGUGUGCAAACACUGCGGCAAAGCUCGUUAUUGUUCGCCAGCUAGAAUUCCCGCGGUUUUAUUCAUCGACGAUUUCGCGAACAACGCUGCCUUUAUCCUGUUCUGGAUUUCCCGUCAACGAACGCUUAAAACGAUUUCUGCGAAUGGCUACGGUUUACGUGGAAAUGUACUGCUAUAUCCAGGAUAGAAAUUGUAAAUUAAUAGAAUACGAAGAAAUUUUUAUACACUUAAAUUUACGAUUUGGGAAAGUUAUCAUUUUCAUAAAUUUAACCUUGCGAUUCGGAAGUUACGGUUUUUGUAGAUUUAACUUUACAAUUUGGAUAGAACCUUCGUUGUUUAAAUUCGAAUUCUUCGAUACAAAAAGUGUACAGAGAUAACAAAUGAUACAUUGGUGAUACAAUGAUGUACAAACGAUACUGCCAAAGCUAAGAAACGAUAAAUAAUCAUAAAAACCCCAAAACUGUAUAACAUUGAACGUAUAUUACUUUCAAGCAUUUAUGGUAUCCAACAAGUUAGGAAAAAACGACGUACAUAUAACAACAAAUACGUAUAAACAAAUAAGUAAUUCAUAUCAUCCGAACAUAUUAGAAAUUAACAAGGAAAAAGUGUGAGAUUAGUAAAUAAUU